AGAGUUUGAUCCUGGCUCAGGACGAACGCUGACGGUGUGCUUUAGGCAUGCAAGUCGAACGAGAAAGCCCUUCGGGGUGAGUAGAGUGGCGAACGGGUGAGUAACACGUGGGCAACCUGCCCCUCGCAGGGGGAUAACCGGAGGAAACUCCGGCUAAUACCCCGUAAGCUUUCAGGGUCGCAUGGCCCUGUAAGGAAAGGUAGCUUCGGCCAUCCGGCGAGGGAUGGGCCCGCGUUGCAUUAGCUAGUUGGUGGGGUAACGGCCUACCAAGGCGACGAUGCGUAGCUGGUCUGAGAGGAUGAUCAGCCACACUGGGACUGAGACACGGCCCAGACUCCUACGGGAGGCAGCAGCCAGGAAUCUUGGGCAAUGGGCGAAAGCCUGACCCAGCAACACCGUGUGGGCGAUGAAGGCCUUAGGGUCGUAAAGCCCUGUUGAUAGGGACGAAGGGCGAAGGGUUAAUAGCCCCUAGCUUGACGGUACCUUUCGAGGAAGCCCCGGCUAACUACGUGCCAGCAGCCGCGGUAAUACGUAGGGGGCGAGCGUUGUCCGGAAUUAUUGGGCGUAAAGAGCGUGUAGGCGGUUCGGUAAGUCUGCUGUGAAAUCCUGGGGCUCAACCCUGGGCGUGCAGCGGAUACUGCCGGGCUAGAGGGUGGUAGAGGCGAGUGGAAUUCCGAGUGUAGCGGUGAAAUGCGCAGAUAUUCGGAGGAACACCAGUAGCGAAGGCGGCUCGCUGGGCCACACCUGACGCUGAGACGCGAAAGCGUGGGGAGCGAACAGGAUUAGAUACCCCUGUAGUCC
This 801-nucleotide ribosomal RNA is filed under the name uncultured Rubrobacter sp. Its description in RNAcentral is "bacterial SSU rRNA". It matches the Rfam family "Bacterial small subunit ribosomal RNA", at positions 8 to 796 of the family's 1533-position model. The record is from RNAcentral. Lineage: Bacteria; Bacillati; Actinomycetota; Rubrobacteria; Rubrobacterales; Rubrobacteraceae.